Molecule: ribosomal RNA, 467 nt
Filed under: uncultured bacterium
Lineage: Bacteria
Description: partial 16S ribosomal RNA
Rfam family: Bacterial small subunit ribosomal RNA
Source: RNAcentral
GAUGAACGCUGGCGGCGUGCUUAACACAUGCAAGUCGAACGGAAAGGCCCAAGCUUGCUUGGGUCCUCGAGUGGCGAACGGGUGAGUAACACGUGGGUGAUCUGCCCUGCACUUCGGGAUAAGCCUGGGAAACUGGGUCUAAUACCGGAUAGGACCACUUCUUGGAUGUUGUGGUGGAAAGUUUUUUCGGUGUGGGAUGAGCUCGCGGCCUAUCAGCUUGUUGGUGGGGUAAUGGCCUACCAAGGCGUCGACGGGUAGCCGGCCUGAGAGGGUGUACGGCCACAUUGGGACUGAGAUACGGCCCAGACUCCUACGGGAGGCAGCAGUGGGGAAUAUUGCACAAUGGGCGCAAGCCUGAUGCAGCGACGCCGAGUGGGGGAUGACGGCCUUCGGGUUGUAAACUCCUUUCGCUAGGGACGAAGCUUUUUGUGACGGUACCUGGAGAAGAAGCACCGGCUAACUACGUG